This 1343-nucleotide ribosomal RNA is filed under the name uncultured bacterium. RNAcentral's name for it is "16S ribosomal RNA". It matches the Rfam family "Bacterial small subunit ribosomal RNA", at positions 28 to 1378 of the family's 1533-position model. The record is from RNAcentral.
GACGAACGCUGGCGGCGUGCUUAACACAUGCAAGUCGAACGGAAAGGCCCUGCUUUUGUGGGGUGCUCGAGUGGCGAACGGGUGAGUAACACGUGAGUAACCUGCCCUUGACUUUGGGAUAACUUCAGGAAACUGGGGCUAAUACCGGAUAGGAGCUCCUGCUGCAUGGUGGGGGUUGGAAAGUUUCGGCGGUUGGGGAUGGACUCGCGGCUUAUCAGCUUGUUGGUGGGGUAGUGGCUUACCAAGGCUUUGACGGGUAGCCGGCCUGAGAGGGUGACCGGCCACAUUGGGACUGAGAUACGGCCCAGACUCCUACGGGAGGCAGCAGUGGGGAAUAUUGCACAAUGGGCGGAAGCCUGAUGCAGCAACGCCGCGUGCGGGAUGACGGCCUUCGGGUUGUAAACCGCUUUCGCCUGUGACGAAGCGUGAGUGACGGUAAUGGGUAAAGAAGCACCGGCUAACUACGUGCCAGCAGCCGCGGUGAUACGUAGGGUGCGAGCGUUGUCCGGAUUUAUUGGGCGUAAAGGGCUCGUAGGUGGUUGAUCGCGUCGGAAGUGUAAUCUUGGGGCUUAACCCUGAGCGUGCUUUCGAUACGGGUUGACUUGAGGAAGGUAGGGGAGAAUGGAAUUCCUGGUGGAGCGGUGGAAUGCGCAGAUAUCAGGAGGAACACCAGUGGCGAAGGCGGUUCUCUGGGCCUUUCCUGACGCUGAGGAGCGAAAGCGUGGGGAGCGAACAGGCUUAGAUACCCUGGUAGUCCACGCUGUAAACGGUGGGUACUAGGUGUGGGGUCCAUUCCACGGGUUCCGUGCCGUAGCUAACGCUUUAAGUACCCCGCCUGGGGAGUACGGCCGCAAGGCUAAAACUCAAAGGAAUUGACGGGGCCCCGCACAAGCGGCGGAGCAUGCGGAUUAAUUCGAUGCAACGCGUAGAACCUUACCUGGGUUUGACAUGGAUCGGGAGCGCUCAGAGAUGGGUGUGCCUCUUUUGGGGUCGGUUCACAGGUGGUGCAUGGCUGUCGUCAGCUCGUGUCGUGAGAUGUUGGGUUAAGUCCCGCAACGAGCGCAACCCUUGUUCACUGUUGCCAGCCCGUUAUGGUGGGGACUCAGUGGAGACCGCCGGGGUCAACUCGGAGGAAGGUGGGGAUGACGUCAAGUCAUCAUGCCCCUUAUGUCCAGGGCUUCACGCAUGCUACAAUGGCUGGUACAGAGAGUGGCGAGCCUGUGAGGGUGAGCGAAUCUCGGAAAGCCGGUCUCAGUUCGGAUUGGGGUCUGCAACUCGACCUCAUGAAGUCGGAGUCGCUAGUAAUCGCAGAUCAGCAACGCUGCGGUGAAUACGUUCCCGGG